AGGCUCAGCAGCAUGUGGAGCCUCUACCACCAAGGAAAAGACAAAGUAAGUAAGCUUGCAUUCCACCACAUCUGUAAAUUUGUCCUAUGUUUUUUUUUGCAAUAACUGCACAAUAUAAAACAAGUUACAAAUGGGGAAUUUCACCUCUUUUAAUUAAUUAAGCCACUCCUCCAAGAUACUGAAUAUAAAAUUCUCAACCUUUUUCCCUUGCACCUUAAGCCCCACCAUCCAGCCCAGGCCAAGACAGACAAGCCCCACCAUCCAUCCAACCUCAACUAAAGAAAAGACAAAGUUGCAAAUGCAGUCGACAGACAAUUUAUCCAUAUGAUAAAAUAUUGGAAAGACGGAUGAUUGGGGUAAGAUGUAGAACCAUAUUUUUCAUUAGGCUGUCUGAUUAUCUCAUAUUGUCUCAUCUUUCAAUCCAAAUGUGACAAAACAGAAACUGAGCAGUAGGUAUCAAACUUUUUCAACUAUCAACCCUCUCACAAGAAAAAAAAGUAUACUUCAAGUUAAUUUUAUGAAGUAUACAUUUAACUGUACUUUAAUUUUAAUAACAUUUUAUUAGCUUCAUGCUUUCUUUUUUGUCCACACUUGAAUGUCUGUAAGUUUCAUAAAGGCAACAUUUUAAACAAAGAAUUUGAGAAAAUCAAAUUUGUGUUAAAGACUGCGACUUGAUUAGAUUCAGAACGAUGAUCAAGCAGUUUUAAGCAGUUUUGAUUUACAAGCUGUUUAAUAUUUGAUGAUCAUGUUAUUUUACAUUUGUGUAAAAUAUCACUUGGUUCAGCUUUUUCUUCUCGUGUGUUUAGUUUCUGUACUAAAUUAUGUGCCAUAGCGGAUCCUAUCGUAUGACAGUGAAAACAUGGAUAGCUGGAAAAUUCAGUCAAUGGUGGGGAAAGAGUAAAGUACAAUUAAAGUAAAUUCUGAUGUACUGAUGCCAGUGGACUAGCCUAGACAAAAUUUCAGAUAUGCUGAAUAAGAAACAUAUCUGUUUUAUAUCAAUAUUCUAAAUGAUAUUUUCACAAGUUUCAUAAGACUGUAUAUGAAAACUAUGUAAAGAAAAAAAGUUUAUUUAAUAGGCUACUCGAUAAAAACCGUUAACAAAACUAAAAGCCAAUUAUACUUUGAAUACUUAAUUAUAUGUUUAAGUAUAUCUCGAUCAAAAGAUAGAGUACAAGUAAAGGCCAAAUAUAAUUGGACUUUUCUCUCAGUAUAAGUCAAGUACACUUAAGUGUAAUAAUU
Molecule: long non-coding RNA, 1239 nt
Filed under: Carassius auratus (goldfish)
Lineage: Eukaryota; Metazoa; Chordata; Actinopteri; Cypriniformes; Cyprinidae
Description: lncRNA (ENSCARG00000042837.1)
Source: RNAcentral